RNAcentral lists this ribosomal RNA (256 nucleotides) under uncultured bacterium. RNAcentral's name for it is "partial 16S ribosomal RNA". It matches the Rfam family "Bacterial small subunit ribosomal RNA", at positions 524 to 776 of the family's 1533-position model. The record is from RNAcentral.
UACGAAGGGGGAGCAAGCGUUGUUCGGAUUUACUGGGCGUAAAGGGCGCGUAGGCGGCCACCGCAAGUCGACUGUGAAAUCUCUGGGCUUAACCCAGAACGGUCAGCCGAUACUGCGGGGCUAGAGUGCAGAAGGGGCAACUGGAAUUCUCGGUGUAGCGGUGAAAUGCGUAGAUAUCGAGAGGAACACCGAUGGCGAAGGCGGGUUGCUGGGCUGACACUGACGCUGAGACGCGAAAGCGUGGGGAGCGAACAGG